AUUGAACGCUGGCGGCAGGCUUAACACAUGCAAGUCGAGCGGGGUGAUGGUGCUUGCACUAUCACUUAGCGGCGGACGGGUGAGUAAUGCUUAGGAAUCUGCCUAUUAGUGGGGGACAACAUCUCGAAAGGGAUGCUAAUACCGCAUACGUCCUAUGGGAGAAAGCAGGGGAUCACUUGUGACCUUGCGCUAAUAGCUGAGCCUAAGUCGGAUUAGCUAGUUGGUGGGGUAAAGGCCUACCAAGGCGACGAUCUGUAGCGGGUCUGAGAGGAUGAUCCGCCAAACUGGGACUGAGACACGGCCCAGACUCCUACGGGAGGCAGCAGUGGGGAAUAUUGGACAAUGGGGGGAACCCUGAUCCAGCCAUGCCGCGUGUGUGAAGAAGGCCUUAUGGUUGUAAAGCACUUUAAGCGAGGAGGAGGCUCUUUUGGUUAAUACCCAAGAUGAGUGGACGUUACUCGCAGAAUAAGCACCGGCUAACUCUGUGCCAGCCGCCGCCGUAA
RNAcentral lists this ribosomal RNA (503 nucleotides) under uncultured bacterium. RNAcentral's name for it is "partial 16S ribosomal RNA". It matches the Rfam family "Bacterial small subunit ribosomal RNA", at positions 30 to 523 of the family's 1533-position model. The record is from RNAcentral.